AGCGGCGAACGGGUGAGUAACACGUAGGUUAUCUGCCCAUCAGACGGGGACAACGAUUGGAAACGAUCGCUAAUACCGGAUAGGACGAAAGUUUAAAGGUGCUUCGGCACCACUGAUGGAUGAGCCUGCGGCGCAUUAGCUAGUUGGUAAGGUAAAGGCCUACCAAGGCGACGAUGCGUAGCCGACCUGAGAGGGUGAACGGCCACACUGGGACUGAGACACGGCCCAGACUCCUACGGGAGGCAGCAGUAGGGAAUCUUCGGCAAUGGGCGAAAGCCUGACCGAGCAACGCCGCGUGAAUGAUGAAGGCCUUCGGGUUGUAAAAUUCUGUUAUAAGGGAAGAAUGGCUCUAGUAGGAAAUGGCUAGAGUGUGACGGUACCUUAUGAGAAAGCCACGGCUAACUACGUGCCAGCAGCCGCGGUAAUACGUAGGUGGCGAGCGUUAUCCGGAAUUAUUGGGCGUAAAGAGCGCGCAGGUGGUUGAUUAAGUCUGAUGUGAAAGCCCACGGCUUAACCGUGGAGGGUCAUUGGAAACUGGUCAACUUGAGUGCAGAAGAGGGAAGUGGAAUUCCAUGUGUAGCGGUGAAAUGCGUAGAGAUAUGGAGGAACACCAGUGGCGAAGGCGGCUUCCUGGUCUGUAACUGACACUGAGGCGCGAAAGCGUGGGGAGCAAACAGGAUUAGAUACCCUGGUAGUCCACGCCGUAAACGAUGAGUGCUAAGUGU
RNAcentral lists this ribosomal RNA (725 nucleotides) under uncultured bacterium. Its description in RNAcentral is "bacterial SSU rRNA". It matches the Rfam family "Bacterial small subunit ribosomal RNA", at positions 94 to 823 of the family's 1533-position model. The record is from RNAcentral.